RNAcentral lists this ribosomal RNA (529 nucleotides) under uncultured bacterium. Its description in RNAcentral is "bacterial SSU rRNA". It matches the Rfam family "Bacterial small subunit ribosomal RNA", at positions 980 to 1509 of the family's 1533-position model. The record is from RNAcentral.
CUUGACAUACCGAUGACAGGUCUAGAGAUAGAUUUUCCCUUUUAGGGCAUCGGAUACAGGUGGUGCAUGGUUGUCGUCAGCUCGUGUCGUGAGAUGUUGGGUUAAGUCCCGCAACGAGCGCAACCCCUAUUGUUAGUUGCCAUCAUUAAGUUGGGCACUCUAGCGAGACUGCCAGUAAUAAACUGGAGGAAGGUGGGGAUGACGUCAAAUCAUCAUGCCCCUUAUGACCUGGGCUACACACGUGCUACAAUGGGAAGUACAACGAGUUGCGAGGCGGUGACGCCAAGCUAAUCUCUUAAAGCUUCUCUCAGUUCGGAUUGUAGGCUGCAACUCGCCUACAUGAAGUCGGAAUCGCUAGUAAUCGCGGAUCAGCACGCCGCGGUGAAUACGUUCCCGGGCCUUGUACACACCGCCCGUCACACCACGAGAGUUUGUAACACCCGAAGUCGGUGAGGUAACCGUAAGGAGCCAACCGCCUAAGGUGGGAUAGAUGAUUGGGGUGAAGUCGUAACAAGGUAAGCGUAGAUGA